RNAcentral lists this ribosomal RNA (1372 nucleotides) under uncultured bacterium. RNAcentral's name for it is "bacterial SSU rRNA". It matches the Rfam family "Bacterial small subunit ribosomal RNA", at positions 28 to 1381 of the family's 1533-position model. The record is from RNAcentral.
GAUGAACGCUGGCGGCGUGCCUAAUACAUGCAAGUCGAGCGAACGGACGAGAAGCUUGCUUCUCUGAUGUUAGCGGCGGACGGGUGAGUAACACGUGGAUAACCUACCUGUAAGACUGGGAUAACUUCGGGAAACCGGAGCUAAUACCGGAUAAUAUUUUGAACCGCAUGGUUCAAAAGUGAAAGACGGUCUUGCUGUCACUUAUAGAUGGAUCCGCGCUGCAUUAGCUAGUUGGUAAGGUAACGGCUUACCAAGGCAACGAUGCAUAGCCGACCUGAGAGGGUGAUCGGCCACACUGGAACUGAGACACGGUCCAGACUCCUACGGGAGGCAGCAGUAGGGAAUCUUCCGCAAUGGGCGAAAACCUGACGGAGCAACGCCGCGUGAGUGAUGAAGGUCUUCGGAUCGUAAAACUCUGUUAUUAGGGAAGAACAUAUGUGUAAGUAACUGUGCACAUCUUGACGGUACCUAUCCAGAAAGCCACGGCUAACUACGUGCCAGCAGCCGCGGUAAUACGUAGGUGGCAAGCGUUAUCCGGAAUUAUUGGGCGUAAAGCGCGCGUANGCGGUUUUUUAAGUCUGAUGUGAAAGCCCACGGCUCAACCGUGGAGGGUCAUUGGAAACUGGAAAACUUGAGUGCAGAAGAGGAAAGUGGAAUUCCAUGUGUAGCGGUGAAAUGCGCAGAGAUAUGGAGGAACACCAGUGGCGAAGGCGACUUUCUGGUCUGUAACUGACGCUGAUGUGCGAAAGCGUGGGGAUCAAACAGGAUUAGAUACCCUGGUAGUCCACGCCGUAAACGAUGAGUGCUAAGUGUUAGGGGGUUUCCGCCCCUUAGUGCUGCAGCUAACGCAUUAAGCACUCCGCCUGGGGAGUACGACCGCAAGGUUGAAACUCAAAGGAAUUGACGGGGACCCGCACAAGCGGUGGAGCAUGUGGUUUAAUUCGAAGCAACGCGAAGAACCUUACCAAAUCUUGACAUCCUUUGACAACUCUAGAGAUAGAGCCUUCCCCUUCGGGGGACAAAGUGACAGGUGGUGCAUGGUUGUCGUCAGCUCGUGUCGUGAGAUGUUGGGUUAAGUCCCGCAACGAGCGCAACCCUUAAGCUUAGUUGCCAUCAUUAAGUUGGGCACUCUAAGUUGACUGCCGGUGACAAACCGGAGGAAGGUGGGGAUGACGUCAAAUCAUCAUGCCCCUUAUGAUUUGGGCUACACACGUGCUACAAUGGACAAUACAAAGGGCAGCGAAACCGCGAGGUCAAGCAAAUCCCAUAAAGUUGUUCUCAGUUCGGAUUGUAGUCUGCAACCCGACUACAUGAAGCUGGAAUCGCUAGUAAUCGUAGAUCAGCAUGCUACGGUGAAUACGUUCCCGGGUCU